This 305-nucleotide ribosomal RNA is filed under the name uncultured bacterium. RNAcentral describes it as "bacterial SSU rRNA". It matches the Rfam family "Bacterial small subunit ribosomal RNA", at positions 335 to 639 of the family's 1533-position model. The record is from RNAcentral.
UCCCUACGGGGGGCAGCAGUGAGGAAUAUUGGUCAAUGGGCGAGAGCCUGAACCAGCCAAGUCGCGUGAAGGAUGAAGGAUCUAUGGUUUGUAAACUUCUUUUAUAUGGGAAUAAAGUGAGGAACGUGUUCCUUUUUGUAUGUACCAUAUGAAUAAGCAUCGGCUAACUCCGUGCCAGCAGCCGCGGCAAUACGGAGGAUGCGAGCGUUAUCCGGAUUUAUUGGGUUUAAAGGGUGCGUAGGCGGACUGUUAAGUCAGCGGUAAAAGCCCGGGGCUCAACCCCGGCGAGCCGUUGAAACUGGCUG